This is a long non-coding RNA of Bombus impatiens (common eastern bumble bee), 141 nucleotides long. RefSeq lists it as uncharacterized. The transcript has 3 exons. The record is from RefSeq and is a predicted model, not a curated record. Lineage: Eukaryota; Metazoa; Arthropoda; Insecta; Hymenoptera; Apidae.
UUAACACGUUCGUCACACAGCGUGAUUCGGCUAAGUUUCCUGUGGGACCCAAAUCCGACUGCCGCUACGCAGAACGUAAAUAGAGCGACAAGCGGGAAUUCAUUGUUUAUCGCCUUCGAUUCAUUUUUUAAGACACGAUCU